This 253-nucleotide ribosomal RNA is filed under the name uncultured bacterium. RNAcentral describes it as "partial 16S ribosomal RNA". It matches the Rfam family "Bacterial small subunit ribosomal RNA", at positions 524 to 776 of the family's 1533-position model. The record is from RNAcentral.
UACGGAGGGUGCAAACGUUGCUCGGAAUCAUUGGGCGUAAAGCGCACGUAGGCGGCCUGUUAAGUCGGAUGUGAAAUCCCUCGGCUCAACCGAGGAAGUGCAUUCGAAACUGGCGGGCUUGAAUAUGGAAGAGGGUCGCGGAAUUCCCGGUGUAGAGGUGAAAUGCGUAGAUAUCUGGAGGAACACCGGUGGCGAAGGCGGCAUCCUGGACCGGCAUUGACGCUGAGGCGCGAAAGCCAGGGGAGCAAACGGG